ACUCCUUCCUGACACUCACGCCACCAUGUCCUCCCCAAAGUGCAUUUGCAUUUUAACAGCCAUCUUCCGUGAGCUGACUCUGUGGUUUUCAGUCAGUGGUUUCCAGUCGGCUAUUUGUCAUAAGUUCUGGAGGUUGGGAAGUCCAAAGUCGAGUGGCCGUAUCCGGUGAGAGCCCUCCUGCAGCAUCAUCCCAUGACGGAAGGUGUCCCAUGAUAACCAGAAGCAGCAGAGAAAACAUCUGAAGUGCUUCCUGGACACACCUGUUAGGAAGUUUCUGCAAGAACCCAGAGAUAAUGAUGCCAGGGUUUCAGCCCCAGCCCCAGGAAGAGAACGGCAGCAGGAAAAGUUAGAGAGGAGAGGGAGCAGGAGGUGGAGAGCUCGGCCCCUCCUUCGCUGCUGCCCUCUGGGUGACGCUCAGCGGAGGCGCCACGUAGCAGCUGCGAGAGCCCCGAGACAACCUCUGCACUGUUUAUGGGAUCGCAUUAGGGGAGCAGCGGCCCUGCAUGACCCCACAGGUGAGCAGGACACCUCAUCAUAGGGUAGGCACGUGAGCAGACUCACCCUCACACAGCUGCCUUCAGGGCUGCCCAGGUCAGGUGCUCAGAACACAAAAGAAAGUGAGACAAAGUCGCCACCCUGGAGUUUACGAGCUGGCGUGGGAGACAGGCUGGCACUGAGGAUGACAGUGGAGAGAGAUCGGGCUGGGAAGAACCGGAGGCGCUGGGGAAGCCGGGUCAGCAGGGAGACCCCAGCAGAGUGGGAGCCGGAGGACGGCGGCGACUGCAGCCCGACUGUUUCAGGUGGCGUCCUCGUCACGAGAGGAGCUUGAGCGGGUCGUGGCCUUCCUGGCAACCUGCCUACAGAGAAAACGAUUGCUGGGUGCAGAUGUCUCGAACAUUUAUUGCAUUCCACGUUGUCAGUCAAUAAAACAGCUUUGCGAGCGUAAUACUGACAAAAUCAAGUUCAGGCGGUAAGCCCCAGGGCUUCCAAGAAAAGUGGAUCGGGGGGCUUGCUCAGCUCUGGUAUCCAGGGGGGGCCACUGCCUGGUUCCCAGGCAAAGGAGUACAAACUGCCGGGAGAAACAAGGACCCUGCAGGAAGAAGGGACCUGCCCGACUUGUUCCCCCGCACCCACAUCAGGAAUUUUCCCAGAAAGCCAUCCACUUUGUUAGAGACAAAAUAAAGGUCAUUUGGAGAAAAACCUGCCAGCAGCUGCUGCUGCUUGAAAAUAGAAAAGAUUUUAAAAGUAGCAGUGUUGGGAGGCCAAGGCAGGCAGAUCACCUGAGGUCAGGAGUUCGAGACCAGCCUGGCCAACAUGGCGAAACCCCGUCUCUACUAAAAAUAGAAAAAUUAGCUGGGCAUGGUGGUGAGCACCUGUAAUCCCAGCUACUCGGGAGGCUGAGGCAGGAGAAUCACUUAAACCUGGGAGGCGAAGAUUGCAAUGAGCUGAGAUUGUGCCACUGCACUCCAGCCUGGGCAACAGAGCAGGACAUCGUCUCAAAAAAAAAAAAAAAAUGCAGCAGUGGUUUGAAAUCAUGCAUUUUUAUGUGUUAUCCUCAAACAUCUGAGGGAGAUAAGAAAGAAUAUACCACGGAUGAGAAUAUUUAUAAUUAUCAGAAAAAAAACUGCCUCCUAGGAACAAUCCUGUGAGCUCCAUCAUCAAAUCUGAUUCAGAAGCCUCCAAAUCCCCUACUUGCCCUGGCAGCUGCUACCCACCUCACAGCUGUCCUUUGCAGAUUACUACAAAUGUUCUCUUAAAUAUUCAUUUAUCCCCCAGCAUUGACAGGUGAGGAAUGAUGUUGCUUGGGCUAUUUCUGCCCCAGGUGGCCCCUGUAAAGCCGGGACCUUGGAUCCCCUCUCUCAUAUGAGCCUCCUAAGCGGGCUCCCAGCUCCUGGAUGGGGUCUUCUCAGGGCCUAGGGCCCCCUCAUCUGCCCAGAACAAACUUCCUCAUCCAGAUGUCACCAUUCACUUCCCCAGGUCCUCCUUCCCACCAGACAUGAGGAUUUUAACUUGAUCAUCUCUGCAAAGACCUUAUCUUCAAAUACAGUUACAUUCUGAAGUCCUGGGGGUUAGGGCUGCAACACCCGAAUUGGUGGAGACAAAAUCCAGCUCCUGACAAUACCGCGUAUGAUAGCUGCGUCUCUGCCUGCAGUACUGUUUUCCAGGGAAAGCAUCUUUGAGUGUAUUCAGAAAGCCUCUCUCUGGGGCCAGGCCUUGCAGAGAAUCCUUCAGAAACUGGACAACCCCACCCAAGGCAGUCAGUGGGGAGGACACAUUUGGUGCCUCAUUGGUCCCUGGAUCUGCCUCACAGUCCUCAAUGUUCCUCCUCGUUCCCUCUACUCUUUCUCCUCUUUGGUUGACCUUGAAGCUCAUUCCUGGUGAAGGCCCCGUGGGAGCAGUGCAAUGACAAGAGGAGCCUGUUUUCAAUAGCACCCUCACGCUCUCCAGGGGUCCAUUGGAGGCGCCUAUGACCUCCUGAUGCUGAGGAGCCUAGAGUGGGCAGCCCUCGGGCCCAGGCUCCACCUGGGUGAGGCCUGUUUUAUUAUCAAUACUCACCACAGUCAUUUGUGGGAGUGUAAUGCUCAUAUUCCCAUUUAAGAGAUGAAUAAACUGAGGCAAGGUGAAGUGACUCAGCUGAGGCCACACCACAGUUUAAUGGGGAAGCCAGGAUAAGAGCUGGCGGCUUCUAUGUCUGAUCUACACUCUGAUGGGAGGUCGUCAGAGAGCCAUGUAAACGGUGAGGAGGUGACAUGCUGGUCCCUUCCAUAAAAGCUGUUUUGCAAAAUUAAAACACACACACAGUAAAGAUCCAGAUUUAUGCAAGUGAGAGUGAGGGGCUGACUAUUUACCAGUCAACAGAUCUCCCCAAAUGGUUCUCUGCUUGGGGUUGAGAUGCUCCUGACCAGCAGGGCUUGGGGAGAGACAUUCUUGCUCCCCCUAGAGCUGGCUGACCCAUACCCAGGGGAUUCUGAGCACCAGGGGCUGGGAGCAGCAUGUACCACGUGUUUCCCAAGAGUUAGUCAUGUUUGCUCCUAAAACUUAUUGUAAUCGAGGAAUCUAAUUAAACAAUACACCAACUGAAGAAACAGUGCAAAAAGAAUGAGUGACUGUUUCUAUGAAAACUUAGAUGAACUACUUUGGAAAGAUUCAAUAAAAAGCAUGCCUAAAUACAUAUACUGGGGCCAGGAGCAGUGAUUCACACUUGUAACCCCAGUGCUUUGGGAGGCUGAGGUGGGAGGGUGGCUUGAGGCUAGGAGUUUGAAACCAGCCUAGGCAACAUAGCAAGACCCUGUCUCUACAAAAAAACAAAAAUUUUUCAACUGGUUGUGGCAGCACCUGCCUAUGGUCCCAGCUGCUCUGGAAGCUGAGGUGAGAGGAUCACUCGAGCCCAGGAGUUCAGGCUGCAGUGAGCCGCAAGUGUGCCACUGCACUCCACCCUGGGCAACAGAGCAAGACCCUGUCUCUAAAAAAAUAAAUAAAAUAUGUACAUCCAGAUACAGUAUUAUGUGUGGGCGAGACACCGGUAAAAGAUGGAAACAAUCAUAAAAGUCAGGCAGGAUUCCACCUAAGAUUGUCUUUAGCUCUCAAUCUACCUUGUUUUAAAAUUUUUUUAUGAGCCAUAAAAGACCUAAGACUAGUCUUUAUUGUACAACUUGAUGAAUUCUGAUCCUGUGGCCAUACAGUUCAAAAUAGAGCAUUCUAGCACUCAGAAAGCUCCCUAGUGCCCUCAUCAGUUGGUGCCUGUCAACCCCAAGGAUGUCAUAGUCAUUUGGACACCCCUGGCACAGUCAUUCCACUUAGAGACUCUGCCAGAAGUCCCAGAUCAUAAUCAGGAGUGAAAUUUACACAAGAAGGGGCCGGAAGCCCUAGUGAGUAGUGAACUCAACUCCAAAAUAACCCUACACUAAAAAUAAAACUGGAACGUACUUUUUAUGUUUGAAAUUUAAAUAAGAUAGAUGUAUUUUUGUUAAAUCGUUCCAACCUGUACAACUUUUCUAUUCAUCAGCCAACUAGCCAGAGAAAGGGGGUUUCUGCUGCUGUCAGAGUAUAAAAAUGAGCUGCAAUUUUCAAAAUUUGACCUCAUCUAACUUUCUCCAGCUAUGCCAUUCCUGGAGCAUCCUCAGUCCAGUGCCUGAUGCGUAAAACAUAAUAAAAAGGUGACCCCACCACACCAAACACUGGGGUGUCUGUAGCAGUGACCGCGUCUCACGGGGAUUUUGUCUGAAUGCCUGUUCCUCCACUCGCCUAAUCCAUGGAGGUCAGGGAACCACGCACCUCAACACACACAGUAGCUUCUUAAUAAAUGUUGGUCCAUGGAAGUCAAGUCAGCCCUUAAAGGGAAGGGUAGGAAACAGGUGUGCAGGGAGGGAGGAGUAAAGCUGCCCUGGGCCUGCCAGGCCUGGGGCCACCCCGCAGGCAACUCUGGAGCCAGACAGCCUCGGGGCACCCCAGGCUGAGGGAAGGAGCUGGGCACAGCCCUGUGUCCCCGUCUCUCAGCCAAUGGAGGAGGAGCUUGGUCAGUCCCUACAAAGGUUGCAGUGGAGACCCUGCACCAGGGUACCCACCUACCCAUGAAGGCACAGGAGGAACAUUCUGGAAAUGAGGAGGCCCUUGUGAAGCCACAGAGGUGUGGAACAGCAUGGCACAGCACCCCUGCAAUUCCCAUACCCUGUGAGGACCCCACAGUCCUCAUCUGUCCCUGGAUGUAGUGCAGUGGUUGUCCUCGGAGUCGCUGGGGUCUCUGCCUGCUGGCUCUGCCCUAGUCCCGAACUGGACGCCCUGGCUCACAGUCCCUCCCCACGGCACCCCCUCCUGCAUUCCUUGGCUCACCCAUGAGCCCCUCUUGGGAAUGGCUCCCCAACUCCACUGCUUCAGGAAGGAGCAGCUUAAUGCUUCCCGAAGCUUCUCCAGCCCCACCCCACUUACCCCCAUGAUGUGAGCGCUUGGACGCACCGUCCCAGUGACCUGCCUCCACGGUAAAAGAGGGCCUGAAUGGGGGUUCUUCAGUGCGGGGAUCAGGGGCUGAUUUCAGAAUCUAACGACUGUCAUUAUGCCGCAUACACAGAAAAAUGAACACGAGAGCUACAAUUUACAUAAAAAUCCCGGAUUUGGGGAGCCCCCAUAGAACCCCAAGACCAAAGACAGGUCUCUCAAUGGGAAAAUUUCAGGAAGCGACGCCAGGUGUCCUAAUCCUCUGAAGCCCAGAAUGUGUGUGCACCGGGGCGGGGCUGCCCCGGAGAAGGUUCAGGCGACCUUCGCGUGAGGACUCCAGGCCCCUCCGGAGAACAUUCCUGAGCCUGCACCAACUGCCCUCCGUUCGCUCCUCUCCAAAGGGUCUCAGAAACCCUCAAAAUAGUGUUAGGAAACCAUCUUACUAACGAAUGUCUGCCUCUUGCUUUCCACCGUAUUUAAAACUCUUCCUUAAGCUGAUAUGAAUUUUGUUAAAAGCACACGGAGAAUGUUUUCUCAUUGCCUCCCACUCUGAGCUAGGUAUUCCAUUCCCCCAAACACUCCUACAUUUAGUAAUGCGAAAAACAGUGAAAGAUCUCAAAGCCCAUAGAUGAAAGUUAAAUCAGUUCUGACAGACCCCGAUGUGUGAUGAAAUAUUAUGCAGCCAUUUAAAAUGAUGGAAUAAUACUUGAAAUAUAAAAAAGUUUAAAAUGCAAACCCCAGAAGCAUCUACAGUAUAUCCCCAAUUUUCUAACACACACGUGCACACACAGGCUUCUAAGAAAUGAUUAGAAGGAAAUACACCAAUGUAUUAAUAUUGGUUAUCUCUGGUAAGACUAAAAGUAAUUUUAAUUUUCUUUUCUUCUUUCCUGUAUUUUCCAUGGUAAGCAUACAUUGAUGUUAAUUUUUUGAUUGAAAAUUCUACUGGCUCCACGGCCUGUCUUGUGUAAUCACAGCUGAGCUCACUCAUCUUCUGGGCUUUGGCACCGUAGGGAGGAAGGCAGCCUUUCCCCAGUGUGCCCUUGGGCAAUCCAGAUCCACCCCGAGCCUGGGCCCUGCUGGGUACUGCCCAGGCGAUGCCAGGAGAGGGCUGAGUGGUGGCCGCAGCUGAGUGCAGACACAUGUGGUGCAGAGCACAGCAUGAUGCAGUGUGGGACGGUGGGCUUUGCAAACCCCAGGAAGGGACAGCGGCCAGGUGCUCCGCUCCAAGCCCAGUCCCCCAGGCCUCAGUGAGCACCCCCGGCUGUGACUUGGGCCAGCCCUCCAUUCACUCAGCCACUGUCUCUCUGAACAUGCCCUGCCCUCCUGCCGGGCUGGCUGGGCUCUAGGAGGGGGUGUCCUGUGCAGGAGGCACAUGUGAGCUCAAGGGCACACCAACCCCUCUCACUAGUCAUGAGUUGGGCCCAGUGCAAGCCCGCUCACUCACUGCUCACUCCCGCCAAGGUCAAGCUUCUGAACCCCUUCUUAGAGACAAGGAGACCUGGGCUUAGCCCUCGAGUCCACGUGGUCGCCAACAUGACAUGACGGAGCCAGGGCCCCCAGCCCUGCCCCAGCCUGGCCCCUCCUCCACACUGGCUUCUGUGCCUCCUGCAGGGCCAGCUUCUCAGCAGCGCCUCUCUCUGCAGGAAUUCACUCACUCGGAAGCUGGGCAGACUCAACCCAGAGCUUUGGCCUCCUGGACUUGGGCAUGCUCCUGUGUAAUGAGGAAGGGCCUCAUUUUAAACAACCAGAUCUUGUGAGAAAUCUUUCACGAGACAGUAGCAAGGGGAGGGUGCUAAACCAUUAGAAACUGCCCCGUGAUCCAAUCACCUCCCAC
Molecule: long non-coding RNA, 6766 nt
Filed under: Homo sapiens (human)
Lineage: Eukaryota; Metazoa; Chordata; Mammalia; Primates; Hominidae
Description: HSALNT0344304
Source: RNAcentral